UGGGGAAUUUUGGACAAUGGGCGAAAGCCUGAUCCAGCCAUGCCGCGUGAGUGAAGAAGGCCUUCGGGUUGUAAAGCUCUUUUAGUCGGAAAGAAAGAGUUGCAAUGAAUAAUUGUGAUUUAUGACGGUACCGACAGAAAAAGCACCGGCUAACUACGUGCCAGCAGCCGCGGUAAUACGUAGGGUGCAAGCGUUAAUCGGAAUUACUGGGCGUAAAGCGUGCGCAGGCGGUUCGGAAAGAAAGAUGUGAAAUCCCAGAGCUUAACUUUGGAACUGCAUUUUUAACUACCGGGCUAGAGUGUGUCAGAGGGAGGUGGAAUUCCGCGUGUAGCAGUGAAAUGCGUAGAUAUGCGGAGGAACACCGAUGGCGAAGGCAGCCUCCUGGGAUAACACUGACGCUCAUGCACGAAAGCGUGGGGAGCAAACA
This 427-nucleotide ribosomal RNA is filed under the name uncultured bacterium. RNAcentral describes it as "bacterial SSU rRNA". It matches the Rfam family "Bacterial small subunit ribosomal RNA", at positions 355 to 774 of the family's 1533-position model. The record is from RNAcentral.